CAAUGCGCUCUCCCUGUCAGCAUGAUAACAACUGUCAAGUCUCCUGCCUUGGUUAUUUUUACUCUUCCAGACCGUCUCUUCCGCCAUUGUCUGUGCCCAGAGUGGCGUACAUGACAGCUGGGUUUGACUUGGACUGGAGCGUGCAUGGGCUACAGCGCUAUGCCUCUUCAGGAACGUCAAAAGUCAUGUUGGCGUGCAGGAGGUGACGCCUGGACAAAUGACUCAGCUCUCUCCCGCUGGCGCCGCCGCCUCUCCCUGGCUUUCUGCAGCGCCUUGUAGUCUGGAUGAAGCUCAAGAUCUCGCGCCUUCUUCAAGUGGGCAGCAGCAUGGGCCAUGACUGCAAUUACCUAACGCUGACUGUCGCUACGAAUCAACGAAUAUUUGUGGAAAAUGUCUCCCAACAAUGUCUGCUAACAAUUUUGACCUUGAAGGUCAAGCAAAAAGACAAAGUUUUCUAAUAUAAAUUAAUCCAAGUUGGAUCUGAGACAAUCCUGGAAGUUAAGAGUCUCCAAAAUGACCCUCACUGGAAUAUCCGAGGAAAAAUCCACUUCAACUCCUCUCAUCCUUUUUUACUAAUAUCUCCACAGUUCUCGUAGAAAAAUGAAGAUGCUCCCACUGGAUCAAGCUGCUGGAUUUUCACGCACACACAUCUACCGUACUUAUGCAGAGCCCAAAUGAAGCAUUUAUGUGUGCAAGCAUGAUGGAAGGACAUAAUGACAGAAAAGGGGUGGUGAAGAAUGACAGACAAUGACACACACACACACACACACACACCAUAUGACCCAGUCCAGAUGUACAGUACAUAAAAACCCUCCGCAAUGUGAACAGAUGUGGCUUUAAAACGUGUGUUCUUUAAUGCAUUUGUGUGUGUGUGUGUGUGUGUGUGUGCAUGUAUGUCAGUUACAAUGUUCAGUGUGUAAGGGGUUUAACGCAGCUGCAAGCCAACAGUCAAACUACAGCGACAGCCUAAGCUAAUCUCCCCACUGUUGUGAUAAAAACACAUUAAUAAAAUAAAAAAUCCUUGGCGUGAGAAGUUAAA
Long non-coding RNA from Syngnathus typhle (broad-nosed pipefish), 1039 nucleotides. RefSeq lists it as uncharacterized. Lineage: Eukaryota; Metazoa; Chordata; Actinopteri; Syngnathiformes; Syngnathidae. The record is from RefSeq and is a predicted model, not a curated record. The transcript is spliced from 2 exons.